Molecule: ribosomal RNA, 240 nt
Filed under: uncultured bacterium
Lineage: Bacteria
Description: partial 16S ribosomal RNA
Rfam family: Bacterial small subunit ribosomal RNA
Source: RNAcentral
GAUUAUGGCUCAGGAUGAACGCUAGCUACAGGCUUAACACAUGCAAGUCGAGGGGAAACGACAUCGAAAGCUUGCUUUUGAUGGGCGUCGACCGGCGCACGGGUGAGUAACGCGUAUCCAACCUGCCCAUCACUUGGGAAUAACCUUGCGAAAGUAAGACUAAUACCCAAUGAUAUCCCACGAAGGCAUCCGAAUGGGAUUAAAGAUUUAUCGGUGAUGGAUGGGGAUGCGUCUGAUUAG